GUGCUUGCUUGGGCAGCACAUAUACUCAAAUUGGAACUAUUAGAGAAGAUUAGCAUGGCCCCUGAGCAAGGAUGACAUGCAAAGUUGUGAAAUGGUCCAUUAAAAA
Molecule: small nuclear RNA, 106 nt
Organism: Monodelphis domestica (gray short-tailed opossum)
Lineage: Eukaryota; Metazoa; Chordata; Mammalia; Didelphimorphia; Didelphidae
Source: Ensembl